RNAcentral lists this unclassified non-coding RNA (217 nucleotides) under soil metagenome. Its description in RNAcentral is "partial contains 5.8S ribosomal RNA, internal transcribed spacer 2, and large subunit ribosomal RNA". The record is from RNAcentral.
AACAUCGCGCACCUGCGGGAACCUGCGGAAGGAUCAUUACAGAGUUCAUGCCCUCACGGGUAGAUCUCCCACCCUUGAAUACUAUACCUUUGUUGCUUUGGCGGGCCGCUUUGGCUACUGGCUCUGGCUAGUAAGUGCCCGCCAAAGAACCCCAAAACUCUGAAUAUUAGUGUCGUCUGAGUACUAUAUAAUAGUUAAAACUUUUAACAAUGGAUCU